ACACCCUUAUGGAGCAGGACUUACUUUAGUGGGGCUUUGGUGCUCACUGAGUCUGCCCCUUGAGUGUGUAGUU
RNAcentral lists this microRNA precursor (73 nucleotides) under Myotis davidii. RNAcentral describes it as "mir-9229 microRNA precursor family". It matches the Rfam family "mir-9229 microRNA precursor family". The record is from Rfam by way of RNAcentral. Lineage: Eukaryota; Metazoa; Chordata; Mammalia; Chiroptera; Vespertilionidae.